ACAUGUUGCUGAAUAGAAACAGCUUUGAGAAGCUGUUUGUGCGUUUACAAAAUUAAAUGUCUGUGUUCUACUUAACUUUGAUAGGUGCUGUUUUAAGUGUGCGACAACUUGCUGUGUGCCUUUUCUUCAGAUAACAUCUUAGAAGCUCAGCAGAAAAGAAUUGGGAAAAUAACUUCUCAGGAAGGAAAGGGGGAAGGACACAGAAACAGCUCAGCGCUAGCAGAAAGCGAAAGGCAGAUACCGAGUGAGGAGGAGCCCUGGCUUGAGCGCUCAGCCGGUUGGAUGCUGCACGUGGACGUUGGCAUCUUUGCCUGCCUUUGCCACAGAGUUUCUCCACAACGGAGGAGCGUAACCAUUUCCUCAUUGACCUAUGGGAUCAAAAUGGAAGUCAAACAAUGCAAGGCCUUAAUCAGUAUUGGUAUCAGUAACUGAAGACCUGCAACUACCAGAGCAGAAGAAAGGAGAGAGUAAGUUAAUCUGUGGUGGAGGCUAAAUUAGCACAGCUAUGUUCACAGAGCCAAGCAGCCUGAAAAUUCACAGCUGCCAGAAAACUUCCUGCUGUCAGAGAGAAAGGACAGCCAUUUGGACAAUCAGUUGCUGCUCUCAGUUUUGGGUGGUAGAAAAAAAUUCACAGGAGUUUCAGACCGUGGUCAGAACUGUUGGCACCUGAGCUGAGGUUCACCUUCAUUCAACGAGGGAAUAGAAAUUUGAGAGGAAAAAGGUAGGGCUUUUUGUUUGUUUUUCUGUAAUCUUGGAAAUAAUUUUGUCUUGGCCAUUUGUGUUCUUCUAGAGUGGACAUUGUACGUUGACCUCAUUGUACAAAGGACCUCAGUAAUGUGCUUUAUCUAUAUGAAUUUCAGUCAGCACAAUUCAAAAUCAAAAUGAUGUGCAGUUAUUAGUACUUUUUCCAGUG
This 913-nucleotide long non-coding RNA is filed under the name Struthio camelus australis. RNAcentral describes it as "lncRNA (ENSSCUG00000007224.1)". Lineage: Eukaryota; Metazoa; Chordata; Aves; Struthioniformes; Struthionidae. The record is from RNAcentral.